RNAcentral lists this ribosomal RNA (368 nucleotides) under uncultured eukaryote. Its description in RNAcentral is "partial 18S ribosomal RNA". It matches the Rfam family "Eukaryotic small subunit ribosomal RNA", at positions 592 to 976 of the family's 1831-position model. The record is from RNAcentral.
CAGUAGCGUAUAUUAAAGUUGUUGCAGUUAAAAUGCUCGUAGUUGAAGUUCGGAUGCAGCAGAGCUUGGCAACGCUGUUAUGGUGCUUCCGUUGCUUUUGCUUGUCCACAGUGCGUUGCAAGUACGUAUGUGCUUGUGCGUGCAUUUUACUUUGAGAAACAUAGGGUGUUCCACGCAUGUUACGGCAUGAAUAUUCCAGCAUGGGAUAAUCUGGUACGACUUCCAAUCUGCCAUUUUGGUUCGUAGGUUGGAAGUAAUGAUUAAUAGGGACUGUCGGGGGCAUUGGUAUUUGACUGUCAGAGGUGAAAUUCUUAGAUUCGUUGAGGACCAACCACUGCGAAAGCAUUUGUCAAGGAUGUCUCCAUUAA